GUGCACGCUGGCGGUAGGCCUAACACAUGCCAGUCGAACGGCAGCACCGUAAGAGCUUGCUCUUCCGGGUGGCGAGUGGCGGACGAGUGAGGAAUACAUCGGAAUCUACUUUUUCGUGGGGGAUAACGUAGGGAAACUUACGCUAAUACCGCAUACGACCUACGGGUGAAAGCAGGGGAUCUUCGGACCUUGCGCGUUUGAAUGAGCCGAUGUCGGAUUAGCUAGUUGGCGGGGUAAAGGCCCACCAAGGCGACGAUCCGUAGCUGGGCUGAGAGGAUGAGCAGCCACACUGGAACUGAGACACGGUCCAGACUCCUACGGGAGGCAGCAGUGGGGAAUAUUGGACAAUGGGCGCAAGCCUGAUCCAGCCAUACCGCGUGGGUGAAGAAGGCCUUCGGGUUGUAAAGCCCUUUUGUUGGGAAAGAAAAGCAGCAGGUUAAUACCCCGCUGUUCUGACGGUACCCAAAGAAUAAGCACCGGCUAACUUCGUG
RNAcentral lists this ribosomal RNA (491 nucleotides) under uncultured bacterium. RNAcentral describes it as "partial 16S ribosomal RNA". It matches the Rfam family "Bacterial small subunit ribosomal RNA", at positions 29 to 507 of the family's 1533-position model. The record is from RNAcentral.